Armillaria novae-zelandiae is the source of this 79-nucleotide non-coding RNA. The record is from the annotation of a GenBank genome assembly. NCBI's taxonomy places the organism in Eukaryota, Fungi, Basidiomycota, Agaricomycetes, Agaricales, Physalacriaceae.
UCCGAUAUGGUGUAACGGCUAACAUUGCCGCCUUUCAAUAUUUCCGCGGCAGCUCGGGGUUCGAUUCCCGGUAUCCGAA